GCUGAGCUGCUCAGUACAGGAUUUGGAAUACCCUGAGUUGGAAGGGACCAUGAGGAUUGCUGGUCCAGCUCCUGGAACAGAGGAAUUGAAUUUGCAUCCCCUGCCUGAGGCACUGUGUAUGUUCUACCAAAGCACUUGCAGUGUGUUCUGCACCUCUGGUACAAAGGCCAUGUUGCUGGAUGGGCAUUUAAGGUUGUGCUAUGCUAAUGCUGAGAGAAUUGCUUGCAGGGAUAGUGACAUAGCAGUAAAGCAUUCAGACAGCACAAAUUGUCCUUUAUUUUUUUUGUGCAGUUCUGUCAGGAGGAGUUAGUUGUUUCGUUAUUUGUUUUCAUUUCAACAUAAGUUGCCCUACAUAACAAUAAGCCUCACUGAGUGGAGUCUCUUUGUCGAGUUGCACUAAAAAGUGUGUAAAGCUAAGGUACAACUGUCCUUUCUCUUGCACAUAGCUUCUCAGUUAUAAAACGGACAUUCACACGUGUGUUGUGGCCAUUUCAAACUGUACAGACUCAAAUGCAGCCCUGUAUGGGAUGGGAUCACAGAAGCAGGCUGUGAUGUUGUUGAUACCUACGGACUCAUACUGCUGAAAACUACAGAAUUGCACCCUGUCACCCAGAUUGCACUGUGAGUGCUGACCACCAGUGCUGGUUGUGGAAAUUUAGCAAAACAGCUUGAUCUCUAAAGCAGCAGGUGAGAAGGACUCCUGUUAUCAGAACAGAAGAAUUUAGGACUUUGACAAGCACCAACACACCCCUUGCAAGGAUGGAUGACAGGGCAACAUAUUCUCACUGGGAGGUAAAGCUAUAAAACUACUGUUAGGACUCUGCUCUUUGAUCACAGGAAAUUAAACACUUGGGCUAUCUGGCAAGAGUUGUGCACACCUUCAAAGAAAACACAGUGAGAGGUCCUAUUGCUCAAUCGUGGCUGUUACUGAUUCCCUACCUGUGGCCAGUCUAUAGGGGUUGUGUGCACUUGAAGGGUGUGUGUGGUACUGUGCACUUCCACCUUGUUUCUGCUGUAAAAAACUGUUGCCCAGCAAAUAUAGAGCAGCCUGAGGCGGAAGGGGAUAUUGGGAUCUUUGAGUCUAAAAUGGACGAGAGACAGCAUCCUGAGAAGCAAUGACUAUAUUGUGCUGUCCAGCCUCACAGAAACAUGUUUCAGAGCCUCAUGUCAUAAAGUCAGAAGGAAUUUCUGUUAAAAAAACAACACUUCAUUGUGCUUUCUAUUGAGUAUUCAACAUCCUCCCUUCAGAAGCAGUGUGUUAUCACCUUGCUGCUCGUUCAGCUGAUACUGUUACUUUCAUUCCCAGAACUGAUACAGAACAUUUGCAGCAUAGCAAAGUGAGCCCAAAACAGAUUUCUAUUUUAUGUUCGAAGUCUUGAACCCAGAUGCCUGAGCAUCAGUAGGUGGGGAAAAAAAGCUCAAAACCAUGGAGUGGGGUGUGUGCUUUUGUGUCACUGGGUCUUCUCUCCUCCUGUGAAACACUGUGUACAGUUUUUCCCUAACCUCUUGUUUUCUUUUUUUUUUUUUUUUUCCCCUACCCAGGAGCACCUGGCAGCUGAUGCACAGCAAUCACAUUCAGGAAAUCAGAGCAGAUAAGAUGGGUCUGCACAGGGUUACCUCCCACAACAGCUCUGCAGGCAGUGGGGCCUGUCAUACCCAGCCCAGCAGCUUUGCAGGGUGCGGCAUCUCCUCUGAGCUGUUCCAGAAGCGCUGCUCCUGCAGGGUGUGCUCUGCUCCCAGGAAGAAGCAACUCACAGUGCAAAUGCAGUGAUAGGCAGAGUGGAGCUUCUGCGUGGUAAAAGUGCCCCUCCUCAGUGGGCUCUUAGUUUCAUCAAGGAAAGUCCCUUGCUGAAAUGCUGAAUAUUCAGGUGUCUUCAGGGACCUUGGGAUCACCUCGCCAUCAGAGAUGCAUCUCUGAAGCAGUUCUGAGCAAGCUCAGUUUGACAACAAAUGACAGCUGUGAGGCAGUUUAGGGAAGAGGAGGGAGAUGGAGGAAGCUUUCCUUCAGCCUGCAUCUAUUCUGACCUCUUCUAAAGCCAAAUAUACCCUAAAAGGCAGGUAGUAAAUUUGACCUUCCCCUGUUCUGCUGUAAACUAAUACAUGAUUGUCAUUAUGCAGCUGGUGCAACUUGAAGUUACCAAAAGAACUCCUUACAAACAGUUCCUAUCCCAAUACAAACAGAACUCGUUACUUUAAGAGAAGCUGGGAAUCUGAAGUGGGAGCUGUCAAGCCCAAGGAUGGAGCUGACUGGGAUGUGUGCCCCUGCUACUCUCACACCAGUUCUGGUCUCAUAGAUCAUGGUAGAUACCUCUGCUGGUGUGGCACAGGCAGUAUUGUGCUGUUAGUGCUGGCGCGUUUGACUCUACUUUACACUGGGGACAAUGCCCUCCUUUGGCUAGGAAUGAAAGUGUAAUUGGGCUUUUAUGUUCUUUUAAAUACCUGGUGUAUGUCUAAUCACCUGGUUAGGAUGAAUGUAAUGGCACCCCCUCAUGGAUUUCAAGCAGAGAUAGACAAAAAAAGAGUGUGUAGUACUGUGCUGCCUGUGGGAGUUGUUGUGCAGAGACUAAGUACAGCUGCCCAACAGAACUGCCACUAAUGCUGAUAGAAUUGCCUCGUGCAGCUGGAUUGAAAACUGUAAAUCUCUGGGGUAAAGCUGCAAAUGCUUUUGUAUUGAUGGUCUGUGGAAACUCAUAACAUAAAAGAGCAGAGCAUUUGUCAACCUCAGAUGAGGUACCGUUAUGUACCGCAUGGUUGCUUUUGGAUUACUAUAGAAAAAAGGCAUGUCUUUAACACGGGCAUGAUGUUGUUAACAGUGGCACAAUGGUACUGGCUUGGUUUUGGAGCUGCAGCACCCGUGUACUGCUGGCAUGUGGAAAAAGUCCCAGCUGCCUGAUCAUUUGAAUACUCCUUAGCUACAAAGUUUGAAAACUUGCCUGUAACAGAGAUUGAACUCAGAAUAAUUUUACCCAUUCUUCACCUCCUCUGUCCUCUCCAGAUCUGAAAGGCUCGCUUACAAGCUAACAAAAGAAAUACUGGCCUAGAAAUGCAAGGGUUUUCCUUACUUGCCUCACUAAUGCAUUAUCUGUCUGUAACCAUGCUGUAGCCAGAAGUUACUUCCCAUUUGUACACUUACUCCUGUGUCUGAAAACUUCCCCAGGCAGGAGAUUAUGCUCUGCUGUGGUUUAAUGCCCUGGUAUGGCUGCUUUAUGCAGACCUACUUUGCUGUGGUUUCCACUGAGACACUGAAGAAAACAAACUGCCCCCUCUUGCUGAUGUUGCACAAUGUUUGAGGACUUGAGGUCACUGAGAACAUGAGUGUAACAAACCAGGGGAUAGCUGCAGUGAUUUGUUUUUUCUUCACUUGCCAGAAAAAGGUGCCUGGAGCGCAAGAGGCCUAAGGCCUUCCUGGAGAAUGCUCUAAAGAAUAGAAGCGCUGUAACUGAGUGAUAUUUCAACCAUCUGCUCCUUCCACACUGACACACGGGCAGGCCAGUUCCAUUGGGAAGCUGCCCUGCAGUCCUCAGGAUUUUCCUAUCCCUGCUCAAGGGAGGAACAAAU
This is a long non-coding RNA of Lagopus leucura (white-tailed ptarmigan), 3558 nucleotides long. RefSeq lists it as uncharacterized. The record is from RefSeq and is a predicted model, not a curated record. The transcript has 3 exons. NCBI's taxonomy places the organism in Eukaryota, Metazoa, Chordata, Aves, Galliformes, Phasianidae.